AGCGAACGCUGGCGGCAGGCUUAACACAUGCAAGUCGAGCGGGCACCUUCGGGUGUCAGCGGCAGACGGGUGAGUAACACGUGGGAACGUACCCUUCGGUUCGGAAUAACGCUGGGAAACUAGCGCUAAUACCGGAUACGCCCUUAUGGGGAAAGGUUUACUGCCGAAGGAUCGGCCCGCGUCGGAUUAGCUAGUUGUUGGGGUAACGGCCUACCAAGGCGACGAUCAGUAGCUGGUCUGAGAGGAUGAUCAGCCACACUGGGACUGAGACACGGCCCAGACUCCUACGGGAGGCAGCAGUGGGGAAUAUUGGACAAUGGGCGCAAGCCUGAUCCCGCCAUGCCGCGUGAGUGAUGAAGGCCUUAGGGUUGUAAAGCUCUUUUGUCCGGGACGAUAAUGACGGUACCGGAAGAAUAAGCCCCGGCUAACUUCGUG
RNAcentral lists this ribosomal RNA (435 nucleotides) under uncultured bacterium. RNAcentral describes it as "partial 16S ribosomal RNA". It matches the Rfam family "Bacterial small subunit ribosomal RNA", at positions 29 to 507 of the family's 1533-position model. The record is from RNAcentral.